UACGGGGGGGGCAAGCGUUGUUCGGAAUUACUGGGCGUAAAGGGCUCGUAGGCGGCCAACUAAGUCAUACGUGAAAUCCCUCGGCUUAACCGGGGAACUGCGUCUGAUACUGGAUGGCUUGAGUUCGGGAGAGGGAUGCGGAAUUCCAGGUGUAGCGGUGAAAUGCGUAGAUAUGCGGAGGAACACCGAUGGCGAAGGCAAUCCCCUGGGCCUGCACUGACGCUCAUGCACGAAAGCGUGGGGAGCAAACAGG
RNAcentral lists this ribosomal RNA (253 nucleotides) under uncultured bacterium. Its description in RNAcentral is "partial 16S ribosomal RNA". It matches the Rfam family "Bacterial small subunit ribosomal RNA", at positions 524 to 776 of the family's 1533-position model. The record is from RNAcentral.